RNAcentral lists this ribosomal RNA (477 nucleotides) under uncultured bacterium. RNAcentral's name for it is "partial 16S ribosomal RNA". It matches the Rfam family "Bacterial small subunit ribosomal RNA", at positions 28 to 507 of the family's 1533-position model. The record is from RNAcentral.
GAUGAACGCUGGCGGCGUGCCUAAUACAUGCAAGUCGAGCGAACAGACGAGGAGCUUGCUCCUCUGACGUUAGCGGCGGACGGGUGAGUAACACGUGGAUAACCUACCUAUAAGACUGGGAUAACUUCGGGAAACCGGAGCUAAUACCGGAUAAUAUAUUGAACCGCAUGGUUCAAUAGUGAAAGACGGUUUUGCUGUCACUUGUAGAUGGAUUCGCGCCGCAUUAGCUAGUUGGUAGGGUAACGGCGUACCAAGGCAACGAUGGGUAGCCGACCUGAGAGGGUGACCGGCCACAGUGGGACUGAGAGAAGGCCCAGACUCCGACGGGAGGCAGCAGUGGGGAGUAGGGCACAAUGGGCGGAAGCGUGAUGCAGCAACGCCGCGUGCGGGAUGACGGCAUUAGGGUUGUAAACCGCUUUCGCCUGUGACGAAGCGUGAGUGACGGUAAUGGGUAAAGAAGCACCGGCUAACUACGUG